GUAUGUCAAAUUUUGGGAUAAAAUUCAAAUUCAAAAAAUAAAUCAAUACGACAGGAGUACAAAAAUCAUCUCAACCAAGUAAAUAGAUUAAUCAACAGAGCAUUCACAAGAUUUAAUUAAACUAGGUAAAAAGAAGGAAGAGUAAGCAAAGAAGAAAUGCACCUUAAGUGCAAUACUCCUUUCUAAUCUGGAAAGUAACCGUUGACCCAGAACUUUGAACAAAAAUCAUAGCAAUAGGAACCGGAGCUACGAACGGGAUACUUGUCACUGAAAGAGAAAACCACAACACGAACAAAAGUAACUGCUGAACUACUCAAUCUUUUCCUGUUGUGGUUGGCUUAUGAACGAUUGUAGCGAAAAUGGUUAUUAAUCCUGAGUCGAGUUAAUGUUCAGUACAUAUUUGUUUUUAUUCUUGUCAGUCUGUUUUAUGGAAGAAAGUAGUUCACGUAUGAUGGUUUUCUAGCGGUGUUGCUGCUUUGGGUCACUGGUUUUAGAUGGAAUUUUGCCCUCAAGCUAUUAAAGGAGACCGGCUACUUGUGGUUUUCAGCUGGCUUUAUGAAGGUGAAUUUUGGAGCUCUGUUUUUGGGCCGUUGGUUUCACAUGGUGUAAAUAAUGGAGAUGUGCUGAUGGUUUUAUGGAAUUUGGAAAUUUGUUAGUGAAGAAAUGUUGCGUGUGAUUAUGAAAAGUGAAGAAGGGAGCAAGAAACGUAUUGUAGAGAAUAUUUUUGUUCUCUGCCGAAUUUUG
This 744-nucleotide long non-coding RNA is filed under the name Nicotiana benthamiana. Its description in RNAcentral is "long non-coding RNA (NBEN_LNC023076)". The record is from RNAcentral. Lineage: Eukaryota; Viridiplantae; Streptophyta; Magnoliopsida; Solanales; Solanaceae.